Long non-coding RNA from Diachasmimorpha longicaudata, 349 nucleotides. RefSeq lists it as uncharacterized. The record is from RefSeq and is a predicted model, not a curated record. The transcript is spliced from 3 exons. NCBI's taxonomy places the organism in Eukaryota, Metazoa, Arthropoda, Insecta, Hymenoptera, Braconidae.
GUGGGGCAGUGCUUCCAACAUCACAAAUUGCUUCUGACAAUUUUAUAAUGUGAAAUCGAGAGAAUGUGAAUAUGGGAUCGUUGCAAUGGUCCCCUACAGGUGAUAAUUAUGGUAGUGGAUGGGGUGGUUGUGUCGUGUAUAGAUACCCGGUAGCGCUCGACUGAAUUGGGCAGCUUAAGGAUGUCUUGUCUAUAGAUCCAAGAAGGUGGAUUGGAGUUUUAACUUUAUCACAGGAUAAAAAUGCCAAAGACAGGAUGAUUGUCGCAGCAAUUAUCACAGCAAUUACGUUGUAACCAGCCAACCACUUGACUCGAGGUCGAAAUUUGAUGACGACGGUUCCAGAAAUGAU